This 1253-nucleotide ribosomal RNA is filed under the name metagenome. Its description in RNAcentral is "bacterial LSU rRNA". It matches the Rfam family "Bacterial large subunit ribosomal RNA", at positions 1666 to 2925 of the family's 2925-position model. The record is from RNAcentral.
GGUGAGAAGAGAAUUCUAAGGCGCGCGGAAGAACUCUCGUUAAGGAACUCGGCAAAAUGACCUCGUAACUUCGGGAGAAGAGGUGCCUCGGUAGGGUGAAUAGCCCGAGGGGGCCGCAGUGAAAAGGCCCAAGCGACUGUUUAGCAAAAACACAGGUCUGUGCGAAGCCGCAAGGCGAAGUAUACGGGCUGACGCCUGCCCGGUGCUGGAAGGUUAAGAGGAGUGGUUAGGGGCAACCCGAAGCUAUGAAUUGAAGCCCCAGUGAACGGCGGCCGUAACCAUAACGGUCCUAAGGUAGCGAAAUUCCUUGUCAGGUAAAUUCUGACCCGCACGAAUGGCGUAACGACUUGGGCGCUGUCUCAACGAGAGAUCCGGUGAAAUUUUAAUACCUGUGAAGAUGCAGGUUACCCGCGACAAGACGGAAAGACCCCAUGGAGCUUUACUGCAGCUUGAUAUUGGACUUUGGUACGAUCUGUACAGGAUAGGUGGGAGCCUUUGAAGCCUGAGCGCCAGCUUGGGUGGAGGCAUCGUUGGGAUACCACCCUGAUCGUAUCGGAGUUCUAACCUAGUACCGUGAUCCGGUAUGGGGACAGUGUCAGGUGGGCAGUUUGACUGGGGCGGUCGCCUCCUAAAAUGUAACGGAGGCGUUUAAAGGUUCCCUCAGAAUGGUUGGAAAUCAUUCGCAGAGUGCAAAGGCAUAAGGGAGCUUGACUGCGAGACCUACAAGUCGAGCAGGGACGAAAGUCGGACUUAGUGAUCCGGUGGUACCGAAUGGAAGGGCCAUCGCUCAACGGAUAAAAGCUACCCUGGGAUAACAGGCUUAUCUCCCCCAAGAGUCCACAUCGACGGGGAGGUUUGGCACCUCGAUGUCGGCUCAUCGCAUCCUGGGGCUGAAGUAGGUCCCAAGGGUUGGGCUGUUCGCCCAUUAAAGCGGUACGCGAGCUGGGUUCAGAACGUCGUGAGACAGUUCGGUCCCUAUCUGUCGCGGGCGUAGGAAAUUUGAGAGGAGCUGUCCUUAGUACGAGAGGACCGGGAUGGACGUACCGCUGGUGUACCAGUUGUCUCGCCAGAGGCAUCGCUGGGUAGCUAUGUACGGAGGGGAUAAGCGCUGAAAGCAUCUAAGCGCGAAGCCCCCCUCAAGAUGAGAUUUCCCAGUAUGUAAGACCCCUUGUAGACGACGAGGUUGGUAGGUUCGAGGUGGAAGUGCGGCAACGUAUGCAGCUGACGAAUACUAAUCGGUCGAGGGCUUAACC